GACGUUAGCGACAGAAGAAGCACCGGCUAACUCCGUGCCAGCAGCCGCGGUAAUACGGAGGGUGCGAGCGUUAAUCGGAAUUACUGGGCGUAAAGCGCAUGCAGGUGGUUUGUUAAGUCAGAUGUGAAAGCCCCGGGGCUCAACCUCGGAAUAGCAUUUGAAACUGGCAGACUAGAGUACUGUAGAGGGGGUAGAAUUUCAGGUGUAGCGGUGAAAUGCGUAGAGAUCUGAAGGAAUACCGGUGGCGAAGGCGGCCCCCCUGGACAGAUACUGACACUCAGAUGCGAAAGCGUGGGGACGCAAACAGGAUUAGACUACCCUGGUAG
This 326-nucleotide ribosomal RNA is filed under the name uncultured bacterium. Its description in RNAcentral is "bacterial SSU rRNA". It matches the Rfam family "Bacterial small subunit ribosomal RNA", at positions 471 to 793 of the family's 1533-position model. The record is from RNAcentral.